UGCCCCGGACGCUGCUUGGAGCAGGGCUUGUUCCUGGCUCAGAUCCUCCCUCGCCCACCCUACCCCCGGGACCGCUUCCAGCCCGAUUUCCCUCCGGCCCUGCCGCCACCGCACAGCGCUGUGCCUCCUGAACCAGCUUCUCAGAUUCACUCUGUGCGGAGAUUUUCAAAGUUCUCCGAGCUCCUGCUCUGUGCACCAGGCUGUUUUCCACGGCUUUGCCUUCAACCUACUUUUUAUGGGGGUGUUGAUCAUGUAGAGCGGGACAGGGAGGUUUGCUGGGGACUGGCCUUACACAGCCUUAUCCCCCACCCUCCCUUUGGAAAAGACUAGCGUGGAAAGUGGGAGCCAAGUCGGUUUAGUUCAGUAUCUGGGAACACGCCUGAGAAGACUUACUAUCAACCUACGAAUGACUUCAGAACUAAAGUCAGAUUAAGCGUAUGAGCAGAAUUAACAGCAGCAAUACUGUGUCAAAGCUGCAGAAGGGCUUCAACUUUAAACAAUGAAUAGGAAGCCAUUCCCCACUCUUUCAUCCCUCUGUGUAUCUGUGUAGACUGUCACAGGCAGAGCUGUUUGGGAAUGGAGCCCUUACCACCUUUCACUGGAGAAUUUCAGGAGAAUGGCAAGACUGGAAGUGCAGAAACAACUGGACCAGCUGUGUUGUGGUAUGGCAAGAAUGCUGUGAGAAGUGGGCCAGCCCUGCCUGUGGUGGCAAGCAGCACAGCCCGGGUAAAAAGCUUAUCCCAAAGUUUAGACUUCAAAUUUUCAUUACAACCUCAGUCAAUGUGAAGAUACACAAAAAUAUGUUUAAAAUCCAGAUGUUGCUGACAUCUACAGUAGGGGCCCUCUGAGCCUGGAAACUUAACCCCCAAACGUUUCCUUGCAUUGUCAUAAUCUCUAAAUGAAAAUGAAGGGAAACAAAGAGAAAAUGAAAGCUGAAAUUAAUAGAAACAGUUGGAAAUGUUUCCCUUUCAAACACAGGUGAAAGGAUGAGCUUUUUCACAGGCUAGAAGAGUCAGGCAGCUUCUGGUCUGCUCAUUAGCUUUUGGAUCACCAGGAAGAAGUAAGAUUUGCAAGCAUUCCAGGUUUAGACUUUUUAUCUCCCUGUGCUCAUAAAAAAUUCAAAACAGUUUACAAAUGGUGAUGUGCAGAGAGACUAUAAUUUAAUGUCUAAUAUCUUACAGAUGAAGAAAGAAA
This is a long non-coding RNA of Manacus vitellinus (golden-collared manakin), 1194 nucleotides long. RefSeq lists it as uncharacterized. The transcript has 3 exons. The record is from RefSeq and is a predicted model, not a curated record. NCBI's taxonomy places the organism in Eukaryota, Metazoa, Chordata, Aves, Passeriformes, Pipridae.